This 85-nucleotide transfer RNA is filed under the name Ahrensia sp. RNAcentral describes it as "tRNA-Leu". It matches the Rfam family "tRNA". Rfam says of the family: Transfer RNA (tRNA) molecules are approximately 80 nucleotides in length. Their secondary structure includes four short double-helical elements and three loops (D, anti-codon, and T loops). RNAcentral also lists the same sequence under 1 other name. Lineage: Bacteria; Pseudomonadati; Pseudomonadota; Alphaproteobacteria; Hyphomicrobiales; Ahrensiaceae. The record is from RNAcentral.
GCGGAUAUGGCGGAACUGGUAGACGCACUGGAUUUAGGUUCCAGCGCCGCGAGGCGUGGGGGUUCGACUCCCUCUAUCCGCACCA